UACGUAGGGUGCGAGCGUUAAUCGGAAUUACUGGGCGUAAAGCGUGCGCAGGCGGCGCGUUAAGACAGGUGUGAAAGCCCCGAGCUUAACCUGGGAAUUGCGCUUGUGACUGGCGUGCUGGAGUGUGGCAGAGGGAGGUGGAAUUCCACGUGUAGCAGUGAAAUGCGCAGAUAUCGGGAGGAACACCAAUGGCGAAGGCAGCUCGCUGGGACGUUACUGACGCUGAGACGCGAAAGCGUGGGGAGCAAACAGG
Molecule: ribosomal RNA, 253 nt
Filed under: uncultured bacterium
Lineage: Bacteria
Description: partial 16S ribosomal RNA
Rfam family: Bacterial small subunit ribosomal RNA
Source: RNAcentral